RNAcentral lists this microRNA precursor (94 nucleotides) under Caenorhabditis briggsae. RNAcentral describes it as "microRNA cbr-mir-36 precursor". Its record names the gene cbr-mir-36. It matches the Rfam family "mir-36 microRNA precursor family". Lineage: Eukaryota; Metazoa; Nematoda; Chromadorea; Rhabditida; Rhabditidae. The record is from miRBase by way of RNAcentral.
UGAAACCUUCGGACCAUUGUGAAUUUUUGCUGCGGUGUUACAACUAACAUCUGUAUCACCGGGUGAAAAUUCGCAAUGGUCCGAUGGGUAUUCA